Molecule: ribosomal RNA, 158 nt
Filed under: Saccharomyces cerevisiae (brewer's yeast)
Lineage: Eukaryota; Fungi; Ascomycota; Saccharomycetes; Saccharomycetales; Saccharomycetaceae
Description: 5.8S ribosomal RNA
Rfam family: 5.8S ribosomal RNA
About the family: 5.8S ribosomal RNA (5.8S rRNA) is a component of the large subunit of the eukaryotic ribosome. It is transcribed by RNA polymerase I as part of the 45S precursor that also contains 18S and 28S rRNA.
Source: RNAcentral
AAAACUUUCUAACAACGGAUCUCUUGGUUCUCGCAUCGAUGAAGAACGCAGCGAAAUGCGAUACGUAAUGUGAAUUGCAGAAUACCGUGAAUCAUCGAAUCUUUGAACGCACAUUGCGCCCCUUGGUAUCCCAAGGGGCAUGCCUGUUUGAGCGUCAU